RNAcentral lists this long non-coding RNA (530 nucleotides) under Cyanistes caeruleus (blue tit). RNAcentral describes it as "lncRNA (ENSCCEG00000001226.1)". The record is from RNAcentral. Lineage: Eukaryota; Metazoa; Chordata; Aves; Passeriformes; Paridae.
CUGGGAGCAAUCCAGCUUUUUUUUGGCUGGUGGAAAACACUGUAUUCCAGCUUUGAAAUGUUUUGGUGGCCCUGGAACUGGAAUACAAAUUCUUCUUUUCUUUCUCUUCAUGUUUUUUUUCCCUGACUGGUGUAUCUUAGUUUUUCACUUCUCUUCUUGUCUUUCAGAGUACAGAGCCUUUCUUGAGUGUGUAUUUUAAAUGUGUGGAGAGGAAAAAGCUACCCAGGACACACUGAUUUUGUCCCAAGCCAAAAUGUGGGGCUUUUUCUGCUCUGCUUGGAUUGGAUUACACUAUUCCUAUCAGUAUGGCAUCAGUGUACCAUAAACACCAUGACUGACAGCUGUCUUUUCUCAUGGCACUCAGUGGGUCUCAGCCUCCUUCUGCUCCUGCCUUGCUGCGCAGCAUGGGAACAUGGUCCCAAGUGCCUGUGACUCCUCCCAGCUGGCCAUGUGGUUCUCUGCAGGGGAAAAAGAAAGGAAAUACUAGAACUCCUCCAUCAUUUUGGACUCAGAUCUCAGAGCUGCUGUGA